GAGACAGCAGUCGCCGCGGUAAUACGUAGGUGGCAAGCGUUGUCCGGAAUUAUUGGGCGUAAAGGGCUCGCAGGCGGUUUCUUAAGUCUGAUGUGAAAGCCCCCGGCUCAACCGGGGAGGGUCAUUGGAAACUGGGAAACUUGAGUGCAGAAGAGGAGAGUGGAAUUCCACGUGUAGCGGUGAAAUGCGUAGAGAUGUGGAGGAACACCAGUGGCGAAGGCGACUCUCUGGUCUGUAACUGACGCUGAGGAGCGAAAGCGUGGGGAGCGAACAGGAUUAGAUACCCCGGUAGUCCCUGUCUCUUAUAC
RNAcentral lists this ribosomal RNA (308 nucleotides) under uncultured bacterium. Its description in RNAcentral is "partial 16S ribosomal RNA". It matches the Rfam family "Bacterial small subunit ribosomal RNA", at positions 505 to 807 of the family's 1533-position model. The record is from RNAcentral.